RNAcentral lists this ribosomal RNA (767 nucleotides) under uncultured bacterium. RNAcentral describes it as "bacterial SSU rRNA". It matches the Rfam family "Bacterial small subunit ribosomal RNA", at positions 47 to 828 of the family's 1533-position model. The record is from RNAcentral.
CUUUAUACAUGCAAGUCGAACGAUGAAGUUCCUUCGGGAAUGGAUUAGUGGCGAACGGGUGAGGAACACGUGAGAAACCUGCCUUUCAUUCUGGGAUAACACCGGGAAACCGGUGCUAAUACCGGAUACUCCAUCUUGGCGGCAUCGCCGAGCUGGGAAAAAAUUUUGAUGAAAGAUGGUCUCGCGGCCUAUCAGCUAGUUGGUGAGGUAAAGGCUCACCAAGGCGACGACGGGUAGCCGGCCUGAGAGGGCGACCGGCCACACUGGGACUGAGACACGGCCCAGACUCCUACGGGAGGCAGCAGUAGGGAAUAUUGGGCAAUGGGCGAAAGCCUGACCCAGCGACGCCGCGUGAGGGAUGAAGGUCUUCGGAUUGUAAACCUCUUUCAGUAGGGAAGAAGCGAAAGGGACGGUACCUAAAGAAGAAGCACCGGCUAACUAUGUGCCAGCAGCCGCGGUAAUACAUAGGGUGCAAGCGUUGUCCGGAAUUAUUGGGCGUAAAGAGCUCGUAGGUCGUUUGUCGCGUCGAUUGUGAAAAUCUGAGGCUCAACCUCAGACCUGCAGUCGAUACGGGCAAACUAGAGUGUGGUAGGGGAGACUGGAAUUCCUGGUGUAGCGGUGGAAUGCGCAGAUAUCAGGAGGAACACCAAUGGCGAAGGCAGGUCUCUGGGCCAUAACUGACACUGAGGAGCGAAAGUGCGGGGAGCGAACAGGAUUAGAUACCCCUGGUAGUCCGCACCGUAAACGGUGGGCACUAGUUGUGGGAA